CUCCUGGGAAAUUUGAGGGCUGAGCGGCCCGGGCUGGGAGACAAUGUCCCUUUCACCCCAUCCAGCCCUGGGCAGAGCAGGACGUGAGAGCGGAAGUCCCUCCCCAUCCUGGGACGUGCAGGCCAGCCCUGCAGUCAGGGCCUCCCUUUCACUGGCUGCGCCCAGGGGAUGUUGGGGGCAGGGUGAGGUGUCCAUAAGAGGGAAAAGAUUGGGAGGUCUUGGACACAGGGUGGGGACAAGGGCCCCUAGCCCCUUCCCAGACGUGAUGUGGAGGAGGAAAUCCAUUCUUCUCCAAGACCAGUCCCUCAGAAGCUGGGGCUGGGCCAGCAGCUCCAGCUCACAGAUGCCGCGGAUCAGUUCUGCCUCGGUGUCAUCAGCAGUGGCCCCAACCAGCCCCAUCUCCUCCUCCAUGGUGGCCUCAGAGCUUGCAUCCUGAUGGGAAAGCAGCCAGGAAUCACGGCCGCAGCAAGGAGGCAGUCUCCCUCAGCACAUUCAACGGGAGAGAAGCAGAGACCCCCACCCAGGGAGGAAAGGUGAAGGAUCCGAAAGAAAGAAGCAAUCUGGGAAACGUCCUGGACACAAACCCAAAUGCCGGGGCGUGCCAUUCACCUUCUCUUUGGGAUCUUUUGCCUUAUGCUCCUGCUCUUCCUGAAGAACUCGGCGCCGACAGAGCUCUCCACUCACUGCCUGCUCCAGGUGCACCAGCUGCUGCAGAGCCACAUCCCCAGCCAGGGACAGCAGGUUCAUCAACAGGAAAGUGGGGAGCAUGGGGGUGUCCUCUGCAGGAGGUGGAGUGGGGAGGCAGGGAGAGACAGACAAUCAAGUCUCCCUGGAGCCUGCCCUGUUUGCACUGAUGGCCCCUUGCUCAUGUGCUCUACAACCCAGUGAAGAAGCAAGAGAAGAGGGUGAAGGAGAUGGUGGCAGGGACUGGCCCAGCCUGAGUGACAAAAAGGGACAGCGUGGGCUAAGGGGGUCAGGAUUCAUUAUAGGAAGUGGUGGUGGCAGUGGCUUCUUUUCUGCGGUAAAGCAGAAGCUGUUCACUGCCCAGGGGCCCAUGGACCCUUCGGCCCACUUACUCGGGGCCUCCUGGGGAGGGCUCUUCUCCUCCAGCUUCUCCAGGGCCUGCUUCGCACAGCCCUGCAACAUCUGGGCACAGAUUGCCUCAGGGCCCUCUGCCAGCUGGUAAAUGAGGGUCACUGCUGCCUCUUUGAAUGGGAUCCAGAGUGGGUCCGGGUGGACAAUACCUGCACAGGAGAAAGGACAAGUUGCCACGGCAGACAAAGGACCCAAUUCUGCCGAAGGCCCUUGACUGUAGCUCACCCUUUGUGACCAUCUCCCGCAGUCGCUCAAACAAGCAGUGUUCCUGCGGCAGCCGGAAGGGAGGGUGACGUUUGCCCAGCGAAGGCUGUGGAGAGUGGGGAGACACUGUGGGUGUGUGCUGAGAGUGAAUAAGAGGAUGCCCACUCUCUUUGGUUUAGACGUAACCACCCCACAUACCUUCCUCCUGUCAGAGAUGUUGGUGAUGGCAUGGCACACCUGUUGGGCCAGCCUGUAGUCUGGUGGAAACUUCUCAUCCAGCCCUAUGCUCACCAGAGUGUCUAAGUUGCUGCCCACAAUUUCUGGUUUUCCUCUAGGAGAAGGAAGCCAGAGUUAAAGCCACUCAUGGACAUGACUCUGUGUGGGGGACAAUGCUGGUAGGAACCAGCACCCAAUGCAGGGCUUCUAGAGCCUUGGAGCGCUCCAGCGAGGCUCUGACAUAGGGCUGGCUCCUCGGCAUCCCUCUUGCUCUACUUCUGCUGGGCGGGUGGAUUGGUACUGUCACCGUUUUAUUCUCCACUUAGUAGCUGACACAGGCACAGAACUCAGUUGGGCCUGACUGCUAUUACUGCCAUUACUGAAGGAACGGGAACCUUCCUUUCUUCUCUCAUCCCAUUGCCAGUCUGGAUCUGAGCCUCACCGUGCCAUCAUCCCAAGAAGCAUGACAGAGGAACAGCGCUCCAGAGGAGAGCAGGGGACCUUCUCGGUUGCCCGUUCCCACAGCACUUGGGUCACGGCUGGUUUCAAUUCAUCCUUCUGCACAAACUCACAGAGCUGAAGAGAAAAGAAUAAAGGCUCAAAUAAAAAAAUAAA
This is a long non-coding RNA of Sus scrofa (pig), 2130 nucleotides long. RefSeq lists it as uncharacterized. The record is from RefSeq and is a predicted model, not a curated record. Lineage: Eukaryota; Metazoa; Chordata; Mammalia; Artiodactyla; Suidae.